GCCUAAAGAGAAGCUUGCGGCUGAUUAGCUUGUUGGUGAGGUAAUAGCUCACCAAGGCGACGAUCAGUAUCUGGUUUGAGAGGACGAUCAGACACACUGGAACUGAGACACGGUCCAGACUCCUACGGGAGGCAGCAGUAGGGAAUUUUCCGCAAUGGGCGAAAGCCUGACGGAGCAAUACCGCGUGAGGGAUGACGGCCUAUGGGUUGUAAACCUCUUUUUUCAGGGAGGAAUAAAUGACGUGUACCUGAAGAAUAAGCAUCGGCUAACUCCGUGCCAGCAGCCGCGGUAAGACGGAGGAUGCAAGUGUUAUCCGGAAUCACUGGGCGUAAAGCGUCUGUAGGUGGUCCAAUAAGUCAACUGUUAAAUCUUGAGGCUCAACCUCAAAACCGCAGUCGAAACUAUUAGACUAGAGUAUAGUAGGGGUAAAGGGAAUUUCCAGUGGAGCGGUGAAAUGCAUAGAUAUUG
This 468-nucleotide ribosomal RNA is filed under the name uncultured diatom. RNAcentral's name for it is "SSU rRNA". It matches the Rfam family "Bacterial small subunit ribosomal RNA", at positions 217 to 699 of the family's 1533-position model. The record is from RNAcentral. Lineage: Eukaryota; Bacillariophyta.